RNAcentral lists this unclassified non-coding RNA (930 nucleotides) under Hevea brasiliensis (rubber tree). The record is from RNAcentral. Lineage: Eukaryota; Viridiplantae; Streptophyta; Magnoliopsida; Malpighiales; Euphorbiaceae.
UCUCCAGCAUCACCUUUGUAUCCUCCAUAAGGACUCACAAGAGGAGCUAUUCCAACAAUUGGUGCACCUCCAGUGGGACCUAUUAAUGAACCUGUAGCAGAGUACACAUUGGGGACAGCAGAUAAAAGCAAGUGCUGAGAACGUGCUGGAUUCUCAUGAAGGCGAGAGGCGAUCUGAUAUAAAGCCUUUUUGACAAUUGUAGGUUCACCAGAAAUCUGUACAAGCUCAUCCGUGCUCAACGCACAAGAAGGCAGAUGUUCAUCCUUGAGAAUGCGAAUCUGUGCACCUGUCUCACUCCGAAUGUUCUGAACUAUUUGCCCACCUUUCCCAAUAAUACAACCUAUCUGAUCAGAUGGUACAAGAAGCCUAGCAGUGACUUGAUGACCUCCUUCAGAGUCAUCAUCAUGCAAGUCUUCUGCAAUAACUUUAUCAUGCACUCUGAACAGAGCAUCCUGAGCAGGACAAAUAUAAUUACCACUAUCUUCAUAGGCAUUAGUCUCAUCACUGGCACUAUAGAUGGUAACAACACGGUCUUCACAACCAGGAACUGUCUCACCAAUCCUAAUCUUUGACUUUGUAUCUAUCCGUAACUGCUUAACAAUGUCACCUCCCCUUCCAAUGAUACUUCCAAUCUUCUUAACAGGACACAAGUAGCGAUAUACAGUAUCUUGUGAAUCAAUGGCAAAAUGGUCUCUAUCAUCACCAGAAUUUCUUCUUUUAUUUGACCCAUUAUCAUAGUCAGACUGAGAAUGAGACCGCUUUCCAUAGCUGUUCUUCUGACCAGCCAUUAUGGUCGAUGAACCAAUUUCCUUGAAUUGGAUUGUUUAGACAGAUAAUUAGAGGAAGAGAUGAAGAAUGUUGUUUGAGAUUUGGGGAAAAUCUCCUUCCUUUUGCCUGGUCUUCUCUGUUUGAGAGUGUCUUUUUCUGAUU